This 253-nucleotide ribosomal RNA is filed under the name uncultured bacterium. RNAcentral's name for it is "partial 16S ribosomal RNA". It matches the Rfam family "Bacterial small subunit ribosomal RNA", at positions 524 to 776 of the family's 1533-position model. The record is from RNAcentral.
UACGGAGGGUGCAAGCGUUAUCCGGAUUUACUGGGUUUAAAGGGUGCGUAGGUGGGUCUGUAAGUCAGUGGUGAAAUCUCCGAGCUUAACUCGGAAACUGCCAUUGAUACUAUAGGUCUUGAAUUAUCUGGAGGUAAGCGGAAUAUGUCAUGUAGCGGUGAAAUGCUUAGAUAUGACAUAGAACACCAAUUGCGAAGGCAGCUUACUACGGGAACAUUGACACUGAGGCACGAAAGCGUGGGGAUCAAACAGG